ACAGAUACCUGAACAGAUCAUCUAGACUUUAGUGAACAUUUACAUCCAUCAUCACAGAUGGUGUAUAUUUGUACAUUCUUGCAUUUUGCCAGCAUGCAAGAGUUGCAUGAAAAUGACACGUUGUGUGUAGCUACAUAAAAGCUGUACCCUGUAUUUGCACUAGGUGUCAUUCUGAACAAUUGCAUUUUAACCUUUACAUUUCUAUAUAUAUUUAUUUAAAGAAAGCAAAUAUAAAAAAACAAAACAAUACAGAAAAGGAAUGUAAUAAAAACAAUUUAAACAGAACAAAUAAAUAUAAGGGUGAAUUAAUGCAGUAAGCAUGCAGUUUUUUUUAUAUAUAUAUAUUAUGUUGUGCUUUAAACUGCAUUUUGGCAGUAGACUAAUGUACAUAUUAACAAAUGAAAUACACUUUCUUUUUUCAUUAU
Thalassophryne amazonica is the source of this 425-nucleotide long non-coding RNA. RefSeq lists it as uncharacterized. The transcript is spliced from 3 exons. The record is from RefSeq and is a predicted model, not a curated record. NCBI's taxonomy places the organism in Eukaryota, Metazoa, Chordata, Actinopteri, Batrachoidiformes, Batrachoididae.